Molecule: ribosomal RNA, 254 nt
Filed under: uncultured bacterium
Lineage: Bacteria
Description: partial 16S ribosomal RNA
Rfam family: Bacterial small subunit ribosomal RNA
Source: RNAcentral
UACGGAGGUGGCGAGCGUUGUCCGAAGUUACUGGGCGUAAAGCGCGCGUAGGCGGGGGAUUAAGUGAGAAGUGAAAGGCUGGGGCUCAACUCCAUGCAGUGCUUCUCAUACUGGUCUUCUUGAGGGGGGUAGAGAGAAGUGGAAUGGCUGGUGUAGCGGUGAAAUGCGUAGAUAUCAGGAGGAACACCUGUGGCGAAAGCGGCUCACUGGACCAUAACUGACGCUGAUGCACGAAAGCUAGGGGAGCAAACAGG